GGGAGGGAGGGAGGGAGGGGGAGGACGGGAGUGAAAAAUUAUAUAAAAAAGACAAAGGCACUUACUGUAAGUAGCUCCCUUUACCCAAGAAACACCAAACUGAUUCCUUUUCUCUCUCUCUCUCUCUCUCUCUCUCCAAAGGAGCGGGUGAAACGGAGCUGAUUUCUCCUUGUUUUUCUCUGGACCAGAUGAAUCCAAUUCAUCAUCCCUCCAGCAUUUGCAAGGCAAGUCUUUUGAAUCUUUUCUUUUAGAUGAGAGGUACAGUUAGUAUGAUGCCCUGCAUUGUAAAGGUCAGAGCAAAAGCAAAGCAUGCUGCUUAUAUCUAACGCUUCAAGCACUCUCUAGGCACUUUACAAGUUGCUCAUGCAGGCUACCUGAGGCAGCUCCCUGGGGUUGAACCCUGGGCUGUCAGCACAGUUUUGGCUGCAGUACAGCAGUAGCAGCCGUAUCUCUACAUGAGUGGGUGCCAUGUCUGUUUGGUCAUCCCCCAUCAUCAAGAGGGAUGGACUUCAGGCCUCCAGGUAUGACUCCCCAGCUUUUCCUAGAGUGCUGGGUCUGCCUCUCCCGCAAGGACUGGACGACAUGGGCCAGAUGACAGUCAAGUCGGCUGAAGUCUUCACCUCGAGGGUAGCCUCAAGUCAAGGGUGUCGUUCUUGGUGUUCAUGGUGGGGUGACCCUAGCUUGUUCCUCAUAUUUUCAGGUGUUUCUCUUAUUGCUCCCAAUCCUACUUAGCUGAAGUGCUGAUGCCCAAAGGGCGGGGUCUUUUGGUGAGAGGCAAAUUCUGGUCGGUCAGGUGUGUGGGGCUUCCCCAAAUUGUCUUCUGUCUCUUUUUAAUAUCCAGAUGUUGCUCCUGCAAGGCCUUUAUUUGGCCAAGGGAAGAGAGGGAUGGAAGAGGUCUCUCUCCUUUCAACUAAUCUGGGGCCCCCUUUGGAACCGUAUCUUCCUUCAGCACAUCAUAUUUUCUACAGCAUGCGGACGUGGUGUUCGACACGGUGAUCCACUCUCUCCCCUACUCUUUGUCAUGACAAUUGAUGAGGACAUUCUUAGAAGUGCCAUCCCCGACUUGGGUUUCAACUUGGAUGGUUGCAGUAUUCCCACACUGGCUUAUGCUGGGAGAACGGCAGCAAAGUGCCAUCCCCGACUUGGGUUUCAACUUAGAUGGUUGCAGUAUUCCCACACUGGCGUAUGCGGACGACCUGAUUCUCUCAGCUGGGAGAACGGCAGCUUGGCCAUGCACCGCCAUCACGGACAUCCUGAUGCAGUCACUCGCCUCACUACAAACCGCCUGGCCUGGACGAGUAAAGAUGAUGCCUGCCGCCUCCGUCACGCCUCAAAUCUCUGGCAACCUGGCAUGCUCAAGAAACAUCACCGUGAGCUCUUGGUCACCCUCUUCCCUGGUCGAUCUGCUGAGUCACUGAGGAAACGUCUCCAGCUUCUCAAAUGGUCGCUGUGCCCUUUAUACCUUUGGGCUUUACCAAGAGUGGGUGCGCCCCCUGAAGUAACCAACCCUACACCAUCCUGGAGACUCGACCUACUCAACUACGCCAUUGAAUGUCUCCGCAAGCCCAAACUAGGGGCAGAUGACCUUUGAUCUUUGGCACUCGACCUUCGUUCUGGUGCUCUAUCUCCAGCCCAAGGCACCUCCAUACUUGACGACCAUGCUAAGCGCCACUUCCCUCACACCUAGCAUCCUUCGAAACGCAGAGGUCUCAACCUAACCCAGCCAUGCUCACAAAAAACAAAUCCGUCGGGCGAACUACGAUACGGUGCAAAGACUGUACCAUCUUUGCAAGAAGGACAUGUGUCCUCUCUGGUUGUUGGCGCUCUGCGUACCGUGGACCCACAGAUACGUUUGCUGGAUUGGAUUAUUACUGGUCGAAGAUAUUCGAAGAACCCUCGGUACCUGAUCAUCGUAGUGCCACUCCUCCAUUAUCCCUGAGCUGGUCCAUAAUAUCCAGCAUUACAGCUCCUGAGGUUACCAAAGCCCUGCGUGAUAUGGGGAAUUCGGCUGCCGGUCUGGACCGACUUACUCUUCCUGCUCUUCUCUCCUGGGACCAACCCUCGCUGGCUGCCUACUUCAGUGUGCUCCUCAUCGUGGAAUCAGCCCCCUCGCAAUUGUCAAAAUCGUGAGUGGUGUUUCUUCGCAAGAAAGAAGACCCGUCAGGCCACCUGACUUCCAACCUAUCUCCAUCUCAUCUACCAUCCUUCGUGCCUUCCAUAAAGUUCUGGCCCGCCACAUCACCUCCACUCUGGAUUUCUCUCAACUACAACAUGCUUUCCUACAAUGAGAUGGCUGCUUUGAAGCCUCCUCCUUGCUCCAUACUAUCCUACGCAAGAUCCAGGAUGAUCGGGUUCCUACAUCAAUGCUCUUUCUGGACAUCUCCAAGGCCUUCGUCUCAGUCUUCAACCAAACCCUGCUCAGUGUGGCGAAGUCCUCCGGUAUCCCUCCUCCUCUAACUCGGUACCUGGACUCGCUAUAUGCCCAUCCUGUAGCCCAACUGGAAUCAAGGUCUACAACAUGCGGACGUGGUGUUCGACAGGGCAAUCCACUCUCUCCCCUGCUCUUCAUCAUGACGAUUGAGAACAUCCUCCAAAGCGUCAUCCCCGACCUGGGCUUCAACUUAGACAGUUGCAACAUCCCUGUGCUAGCCUACGCAGAUGACCUGGUUCUCUUUGCAGGAAGACCCGAGAGGCUACAGGAGAAGCUCGAUGGCUUGGUAGCAUCCCUGUGCUGGGCCAGUAUGUCGCUCAACACCAAGAAGUUGAUUGUCCUCACAAUCGCCAAGGACAGGAAGCACAAGACAAUGGUCCUUCUUCCAUCUACCUACCGCCUUGUCUCCGACGAGAUCCAGCCUCUCGGUCCAUCCGAUACAGUCCGGUACCUCGGCCUUGAAUUCCACUGGAAAGGUCGAGUGGUGCCCAAACGCACCUCAGAACUGGAGAAGAUGCUCCAGGAGAUCUCGGCGGCUCCUCUCAAGCCUUAGCAAUGCCUGGACCUCCUUAAGAAAUUUGCCAUCCCCAAGCUCACACACGAACUGGUCCUCGGGAAUGCCCAUUGAAACACUCUCAAAAAGAUGGACGUUCUCGUCCGGUCUCACGUUUGGAGUUGGCUCCGCCUGCCCAAGGACACGCCUCUGGGCUUUCUUCAUGCUUCAGUCCGAGACAGAGGUAUCGGGAUUCCAUGCUUCAUCACAAGUAUUCCUGUCCUUCAAAGCUGAUCCAGUCAAAGACCGACACUCGGAAUCGAUGGGAGAGAUCUCUUUGGCCAACCGGUCGACCUGGUAAGACAUCACUGGUUACAGUUUCCAGAAUGGGUCUUCCCUCCUCACCAUCUCCAAGGGGUUCAAUUGUGUGGUGGUCUUCUGCCAACUAAGCUUUGCAUGGCACGAGGCCCUCUGACCCCGAUAAAGCCUGCCGUGGUGCCUGCCAUCAACCUGAGAUGCUGAAUCACAUCCUGCAAGUCUGUGAAAUCACCCACAAUGCAAGGUGUAUGCGGCACAACAGGAUCGUCCAAAGAGUUGACCGACUCCUGAGAUGCAAGUAGCUACAGACCUAGAUCGAGCCCAUCAUUCCAUCUGGCUCGUCCUUUGUCAAGCCUGACAUCGUGGUGCUCACCAACAACCAGCUGGUACUCUUGGAUGUAUCCGUCAUGGGUGGCCAUCGCCUACAAGAGACCUUGGACCUGAAAUCGUCCAAGUAUGGCUCCCCUGUCUGCACCGCCAACCUGCAGAAAUGGCAUGGUUCGUUGAUCCCAAUUCGCUACUCUCCAAUCAUCAUCUCCAAUAGAGGCCUUCUCUUCACCAAGUCUAUUCGCCAUCUGCAUUCUCUCGGCCUAUCCUCCCGUGAUCUCUCCGACCAAUGCCUUCUGGCUAUUGCUGGCUCGCUCAGGUGCUACGACCUAUACACAAGAAGCACAACGGACUACAAAAGACACUGACAAAGAUGGAAUGCUGGUUCUAUAUGACCUGCCCUUGGGUGGCGUAGAUGUCAAUAGCGACACUCGCCUCAGACUGGCAUGUUACUAUAACUUGUUUGUAUAACUGGUUAAUUCUGACAAUAAAUGAUAUCUAGCCAAAUGAUCCA
Molecule: long non-coding RNA, 4083 nt
Organism: Pogona vitticeps (central bearded dragon)
Lineage: Eukaryota; Metazoa; Chordata; Lepidosauria; Squamata; Agamidae
Source: Ensembl